RNAcentral lists this small RNA (668 nucleotides) under Histoplasma capsulatum. RNAcentral describes it as "hypothetical RNA". The record is from RNAcentral. Lineage: Eukaryota; Fungi; Ascomycota; Eurotiomycetes; Onygenales; Ajellomycetaceae. RNAcentral also lists the same sequence under 1 other name.
CCCGCGCAUCCACUACAGCCCAUCGAUCCCAGUGAGCCGCUUCCCCCAGUCUUGACUUACAGCAUACGGUGAUGUUGCACAGUAAGUUAGUGCCUUCUUCGCCAUUUUAGUCAGUUAACUAGUUAACUAGUUAGUUAUUUAUUCUUGAUUAGUUAAUAUACAUUCUCAGUUUAGAGUUGUUCGACAUCAUGAAAAUGAUAAAGAGAAGAAGAGCAUAUAUUUCAAUCUACCGAAUUUAUAUUGAUAUCUGUGCUUGAUAUUACCACAUCGUCAUAUCCUUGAUUGUUGUCGCUGAAAAAUUCGCUCCAUAUUACCGCAGCAGAUGAAGAAACUGAUAACCAUUCAGGCGGAGUGAAACAGUCGGAUGUUCGAUUCCUGUAGCCUUUCGCCUGGUAGCAGAGCCUAACCCCUCUGGUUGGCAUGUGGGCUUCCUACAAGCCAAAACAAGACAACAACGUGCUGGAGUAUUUUGCUCGAUAUAUCUAUCAUAUAGAUAUUGGUAAAGAUUUAUACUAUUGGUAGAGUAUUUCUAAAUUUUCACGUCAGUAAUACAUGUACAGAUAAAUGGGUAGAUGAGGACUUUAAUUUGGAUUUCCAAUUAACUGAUCGUUUAUGAAGGGCACGAGCAGGGCUUAUCAACUUAGAUUCUGGUAUUUUUCUAAAUGACC